Molecule: small nuclear RNA, 76 nt
Filed under: Dipodomys ordii (Ord's kangaroo rat)
Lineage: Eukaryota; Metazoa; Chordata; Mammalia; Rodentia; Heteromyidae
Source: RNAcentral
CACUUUGAUGUAGAGUAGAUAAGCAUGGUCCCUGUGCAAAGAUGAUACAAAAAUUCAUGGAAUGUUCAAUAUUUAA